RNAcentral lists this unclassified non-coding RNA (2177 nucleotides) under Hevea brasiliensis (rubber tree). Lineage: Eukaryota; Viridiplantae; Streptophyta; Magnoliopsida; Malpighiales; Euphorbiaceae. The record is from RNAcentral.
AAAGAAAAGAAAAAAAAAAAAGAGCAGUUCUUCGAAGAUUUGUAAUUCGAAUACAUUUAUAUAAGCUUUGCAGAGAUAUAAAGUGCCAUUGAGAUUUUGAUAUAAAAUACGAUAAUUAUUCCAAUCUUAAAAUCGUUAAGUUUCUGUCAGAUUUAAAUCAUAUUCACAAGUAAUAACACAUUAUCACCCUAGCAGAGAUGGAAACGCAUAAAAGGUUCAAAAUUUUAGGACGAGCUCAUGAAAGCAUAGCCCCAUGAAAUCAUCCACAGGAUGACAUGCUGAUUCUAUUUUUUGCAGCAAGAAGACACUAGUAAAUCACUGCUUAAAAUGAUCAUUGUACCUUUUCUCAUAAAUCAAGAUCUAAGACCAGCUUUGUAUUGGAAUGAUAAGAAAAAGUGUACCUAGAGCAGUUGGGAUUCUCACUGCCUAUUGUACUCUGUAAACAUGUGAUUCCUAACUGAAGAAGACUACAGAUUCAAAUACCAUAGUAGCCAGUGCUGCUUUCCUCAAAUCUCAAAUCUUACCUGUUCCAAGAGGCUGCCUUGAGGUGUCACCAGUAGCCCAUGCUUGAUAGUCUUUCACAAGCUGUACAACAAUGGAAGGAAAAUAUAAGUCAAUGGGAUGUGGCAAAGACAAUGUAAUCACAGAGCAAUAUGUCGAGACACAGAACAGGAUUCUUAAAUUGAGAUAUCCAGAUUGUUGAUUUCAUUGAUAAAAAUUACCACUCCAUUCUAAUGCGAACCACAAAAAUUAUACUUCAUAUAUUACUGAACGACCAACAUGAUCACAAGCAACAAAAAUAAUUUACAGAAAUCAGAGUCAUGCUCACAACUGUCACCAAAAAUUCAAAACAGGUUCAUUUCAUGAAAUUUUAAAAAUCGUCUCAGUAAGCGGUGAUGAGAUUUGUUUUUUCAUCUAACGCCCCCUAUCUAAUGGUGGACAUCCACAUUUAAUUGCCAUGCAGAACAAAAUGAAUCAAAUUACAAGAAAACAUAAAAAAAAUACAAAGAAAAGCAUCCUGUAGAGUGUCAAGAUACCAUUUUAGACUUCACGCAUUAUUUGCUCUUGCCCCUGAAGUUACUCAUUUCCCUUAUCUCUUGAUAGGGUCUUCCUGCAUCGCUGUGCCAUAAAGCGCGGAAGCAUAAGCCCAAGUAUUUGUUCAAGGAUUCUUGUCCCACUUGAUUCCAUUGCUUGAACUGGAAUUGCACUAAAUGCAAAAGGGACCUCAAUGUUAACCUCAAUGACUGCAUCAGAAGUAAGUUGUUGCACUGAUGAGUUGCUUUGGCUGCUACCACAUGAGAUAUAGUUCACCAUAGAAGCACUGAAUUUCUCAUUCUGUGCAACCACCAUAGGUGAGCCCUCAAGCUUGCAUGAUAAAAGCUUAAUGCAACAACCAUUAGGCUGCUCUUCAACUCUAACAAGCAAAACAGGGCAAACCUCAAAAGCAAAGAACUUGAACCUAUACACAUAACACCUAAACGUGUUGUCGUCCACCCGCUCUAUCCUCUCCGCAUCCAACACGGAGUAUUGACUCGCCGGUAAGCUCAUAUACUCAAUUAGAGGGCGCCCCAGUUGCCGGACCAAAACCGACUCCUUCCGCCGUGCAAUGAAUUGCGCUUUCGGAGUCGAAUUGGCCAAAGCGCGGAGGAAGGGCCUUGGAGAUCCAUGCGGUGACGAAGACAAUUUCAUAGGAAGAUAAUUUUUAGGGUUCCUGGGUUGGAAUUGUAGAAAACUUAGGCUUAUAGUAGCUCUUGAAGAGGUAGAGCAGUUCAAAGCCAUUUCACUCCAAUUUUAGAAGAUAACGUUACUUGGGCAAAUCUAGGCAGUAGGCUGAGAGAACCGUAGUGGUGAAGGAUAGAUAGGACUACGAGUAACAACUAACUAGGCGCAUGUUAGCAUCAGACGCUGACAUAGUUGUGGGCCCCACUUAUUUGUUUCCUUUAGGCAUUCAUCUCUGCACCAUCAGGAGACCUUUACCAAAUCACAGAAACAUUCAAAUGGACAGCAAAAUCGCAGGAAUUUAAGAGUUAAAUCAGGAAUUCCAUUGAUUCAAAUGCAGGAAACUACAAUUAGAACCUCAUUCAUGGUAAUAAUCCAACUCUUUACAUCGAAAAACCCUAAGGAAGAUGUGCCACAAUAACUCUAAUCCUAACCCUAAGAGCUAGUGAACUUAGUAA